Molecule: ribosomal RNA, 473 nt
Filed under: uncultured bacterium
Lineage: Bacteria
Description: bacterial SSU rRNA
Rfam family: Bacterial small subunit ribosomal RNA
Source: RNAcentral
UCCCAGACUCCUACGGGAGGCAGCAGUGGGGAAUAUUGCGCAAUGGGCGAAAGCCUGACGCAGCGACGCCGCGUGAGGGAUGAAGGUCUUCGGAUCGUAAACCUCUGUCAGCAGGGAAGAACGGUCACUGUGCUAAUCAGCAGUGAAUUGACGGUACCUGCAAAGGAAGCACCGGCUAACUACGUGCCAGCAGCCGCGGUAAUACGUAGGGGGCAAGCGUUAUCCGGAUUCACUGGGUGUAAAGGGAGCGUAGACGGCCAUGCAAGCCUGGAGUGAAAGCCCGGGGCCCAACCCCGGGACUGCUCUGGGAACUGUGCGGCUGGAGUGCGGGAGGGGCAGGCGGAAUUCCUGGUGUAGCGGUGAAAUGCGUAGAUAUCAGGAGGAACACCGGCGGCGAAGGCGGCCUGCUGGACCGCGACUGACGUUGAGGCUCGAAAGCGUGGGGAGCAAACAGGAUUAGAUACCCGAGUACA